Molecule: ribosomal RNA, 493 nt
Filed under: uncultured bacterium
Lineage: Bacteria
Description: bacterial SSU rRNA
Rfam family: Bacterial small subunit ribosomal RNA
Source: RNAcentral
CCGCCGCCGUAACACAUGCAAGUCGAGGGGCAUCGGGGGUAGCAAUACCUGCCGGCGACCGGCGCACGGGUGAGUAACGCGUAAGCAACCUACCUUUUGCAGGGGGAUAACCCGGAGAAAUCCGGACUAAUACCCCAUAUACUUUGAGAUACAUAAGUAUUUUAACGGAAAGGAGUAAUCCGGCAAAAGAUGGGCAUGCGUAUCAUUAGAUAGUUGGAGAGGUAACGGCUCACCAAGUCGACGAUGAUUAGGGGUUCCGAGAGGAUUAUCCCCCAGACUGGGACUGAGACACGGCCCAGACUCCUACGGGAGGCAGCAGUGAGGAAUAUUGGUCAAUGGCCGCAAGGCUGAACCAGCCAUGCCGCGUGCAGGAUGACGGCCCUACGGGUCUUAAACUGCUUUUUACGGAGAACAAAGCGAGCCAUGCGUGGCUCACUGAGUGUAUCCGUUGAAUAAGCAUCGGCUAACUCCGUGCCAGCAGCCGCAGUAAUAC